AUGGCCUGUGACUCCCCAUCUUGGGGUCGUGAGAUCAAGCCCCACCUUGGGCUAGAACUUGCAUUUAAAAAAGAAAAAAAAAAAAAAAAAAAGGAAGGACAUCCUGACACCUGCUACACGUGGAGGAGCCUUGAGGACAUUGUGCUCAGUGACAUAAGCCAGACACAGAAGGACAAACACUGUCUGAUUCCAUUUAUAGGCGGUGUCUGGGAUAGAGAAAUCCAGAGACAGAAAGAAUGGUGGGUUCCAGGGUCCGGGGUCCUGUUUAAGGGGCGCCGAGUUCGUGCGGGGGCUGAUGGCUCCGGCCGGCGGUGCUGGCUUCACUGCACCCUGGACGCAUUUCAUGCCUCUGGAUGGUGCAUUUACAGAUGGUCUAAGUGUCUUUCACCAUCAUUUAAAAGGCAGACACCCCCGGGCAGCACUUUGCCUCUUUGCUUUUCAAAAGACAGGACAUCGAUAAAGUCACAUGUUGCACAAGAUGUUGUGUCUAUGAAAUACAGCGACCGUCACCCCAGGCCCAGCCUCCUCACCCGCCGCCUCACCCCUCCCCGCACGACCCCCGUGCGUCCCUUCCGGCGCUUGGGGCGCAGGGACCUCGUGCGGCCACCAGGUGGCGCCGCCCCGCCUCUCGGCGCCCGGGAGGUUCGGCGCCAGCCCGGUGGGCGGCGCGGAGGCGGUGCGAUGCGUCAGCCGGACCGCGGGGCCCGGGAGCCCCGGGAAGCAAGCCGCGGGGCUGAAGGCCAGACCCCAGGCUGGCGGGGGAGGGGACGCUGCUGUGAGUCACGCGGGAGCCCCCGAUCGGCCGUGGGAGGCAGUCCCACGCUGCCUGCCCGCCAGGCUCGUGAACCGCCUUCCUGGGGGAGACGGCGAGGCCGGCGGCCGUCCCCCUGUCGCACACGUGUGGCUCCAACACGCCCUGCACGGUGGCUUGCGGGAGUGCGUGUGCGAGGGAGGGGGGGGGGACUGCCCGUGCCUCAGUUUCCCCUUUUGUCUAAUGCACAUAAGCAUGGACCCUGCUUCCUGGGUCCUGGAAAAUUAAAAGACUCAUGA
Molecule: long non-coding RNA, 1050 nt
Filed under: Canis lupus familiaris (dog)
Lineage: Eukaryota; Metazoa; Chordata; Mammalia; Carnivora; Canidae
Description: lncRNA (ENSCAFG00040010498.1)
Source: RNAcentral